AUUGAACGCUGGCGGCAUGCCUUACACAUGCAAGUCGAACGGCAGCAUGAUCUAGCUUGCUAGAUUGAUGGCGAGUGGCGAACGGGUGAGUAAUACAUCGGAACGUGCCCUGUAGUGGGGGAUAACUAGUCGAAAGAUUAGCUAAUACCGCAUACGACCUGAGGGUGAAAGUGGGGGACCGCAAGGCCUCAUGCUAUAGGAGCGGCCGAUGUCUGAUUAGCUAGUUGGUGAGGUAAAGGCUCACCAAGGCGACGAUCAGUAGCUGGUCUGAGAGGACGAUCAGCCACACUGGGACUGAGACACGGCCCAGACUCCUACGGGAGGCAGCAGUGGGGAAUUUUGGACAAUGGGCGAAAGCCUGAUCCAGCAAUGCCGCGUGUGUGAAGAAGGCCUUCGGGUUGUAAAGCACUUUUGCCCGGAAAGAAAUGGCUCUGGUUAAUACCUGGGGUCGAUGACGGUACCGGAAGAAUAAGGACCGGCUAACUACGUG
This 490-nucleotide ribosomal RNA is filed under the name uncultured bacterium. RNAcentral's name for it is "partial 16S ribosomal RNA". It matches the Rfam family "Bacterial small subunit ribosomal RNA", at positions 30 to 507 of the family's 1533-position model. The record is from RNAcentral.